RNAcentral lists this long non-coding RNA (856 nucleotides) under Rattus norvegicus (Norway rat). Its description in RNAcentral is "long non-coding RNA NONRATT012866". The record is from RNAcentral. Lineage: Eukaryota; Metazoa; Chordata; Mammalia; Rodentia; Muridae.
AUCAGUUGCACCCAGCCUAACAGCGAUCUGAGCAGCUGUGUGUAUGCACGUGCAGUAGCUGGAGUGCACGCGUGAGCACGUGUUCGAACCUGCACGCAAACUGGGAACGGCGUGGGCUGUGCGAAGCCUGCGCUCUUGUUUCCAUCUCUGACUUGCAAAUGAAGCCUGUUUUCAAAACUCAGUCAGCCUGUGGGAGUGAGAGCCAGAAGAUCCGAGGGAGUUUUUCCCACAAUGCCUGCUGGGCCCCCGGAAGAAACAAACCUGGUGGUGCAUACGGCGCGCGCGCGCGCGCGCGCGGGGAAGCCCAUCUCCAGCUCGAGUAGAUUAGGCUGGAUGGCACGCGUCAGGGAGUGUGGCAACCCCGCGAGAAACUGGCAUCAAACUGCUGCUGCUGCUGCUCCAAGCUGGCAGUGAGGCUCAGCUGGGCACAGGGGACCGGGAGGCAGAAGCAAGAAGCCCAACUUGAAGAGCCAUUGCUUUGUUUGUAUUUCCAGUCACAUUUCUGUCUCAACUUACAUCAUCGUCGUCGUCGUCGUCGUCAUCAUCAUCAUCAUCACUACUGUAAUUAGUCGGGCCCUAUCCAAUCAAAAGCUGCAGCAUCACCUCUGUUAGUGGUAUAGGUUAUGGGCACAAACCGAGAGUUUGGUUCUCUGGAUGUCAAAGAAGGGAAGGCUCUGGAAGUUUCUGCCAAAGGCAGUGUCAGGGCAAGUAGACAUCAGUAGCAGAGAGGUGAAUCCUGUAAGCGUUUGUCUCUUCCCUGGAACCCUCAGUGCUGCAGGACCCAGAGCAUGAUCUGCCCGCUCUGAGCCUAGUGUGGGGGGUCCCCAUUCUGCGACAAUUAAAUUCCCUACCUGAA